Molecule: small nuclear RNA, 20 nt
Filed under: Arabidopsis thaliana (thale cress)
Lineage: Eukaryota; Viridiplantae; Streptophyta; Magnoliopsida; Brassicales; Brassicaceae
Description: snRNA_04366
Source: RNAcentral
AGAGGGGAAAGGUUCCAUGU